AUUGGGAAGGCAGAAAGAUAACAGUGAAUAUGAGACAUGGGGGAAGGUAUUGGGAAGGUAGAAAGAUAACAGUGAAUAUGAGACAUGGAGGAAGGUAUUGGGAAGGUAGAAAGAUAACAGUGAAUAUGAGACAUGGAGGAAGGUAUUGGGAAGGUAGAAAGAUAACAGGGAAUAUGAGACAUGGGGAAGGUAUUGGGAAGGUAGAAAGAUAACAGUGAAUAUGAGACAUGGGGGAAGGUAUUGGGAAGGUAGAAAGAUAACAGUGAAUAUGAGACAUGGAGGAAGGUAUUGGGAAGGUAGAAAGAUAACAGGGAAUAUGAGACAUGGGGAAGGUAUUGGGAAGGUAGAAAGAUAACAGUGAAUAUGAGACAUGGAGGAAGGUAUUGGGAAGGUAGAAAGAUAACAGUGAAUAUGAGACAUGGAGGAAGGUAUUGGGAAGGUAGAAAGAUAACAGUGAAUAUGAGACAUGGGGGAAGGUAUUGGGAAGGCAGAAAGAUAACAGUGAAUAUGAGAC
Salvelinus fontinalis (brook trout) is the source of this 514-nucleotide long non-coding RNA. RefSeq lists it as uncharacterized. The transcript has 3 exons. The record is from RefSeq and is a predicted model, not a curated record. Lineage: Eukaryota; Metazoa; Chordata; Actinopteri; Salmoniformes; Salmonidae.